This 253-nucleotide ribosomal RNA is filed under the name uncultured bacterium. RNAcentral's name for it is "partial 16S ribosomal RNA". It matches the Rfam family "Bacterial small subunit ribosomal RNA", at positions 524 to 776 of the family's 1533-position model. The record is from RNAcentral.
UACGGAGGGCGAAAGCGUUGUUCGGAAUCACUGGGCGUAAAGCGCACGUAGGCCGAUUGGUCAGUUGGGGGUGAAAUCCCGGGGCUUAACCUCGGAACUGCCUUCAAUACUGCCAGUCUCGAGUCCGGAAGAGGUGAGUGGAAUUCCUAGUGUAGAGGUGAAAUUCGUAGAUAUUAGGAAGAACACCAGUGGCGAAGGCGGCUAACUGGUCCGGUACUGACGCUGAGGUGCGAAAGCGUGGGGAGCAAAAAGG